GAUGAAGAACGCAGCAAAAUGCGAUAAGUAAUGUGAAUUGCAGAAUUCAGUGAAUCAUCGAAUCUUUGAACGCACAUUGCGCCCGCCAGUAUUCUGGCGGGCAUGCCUGUUCGAGCGUCAUUUCAACCCUCAAGCACAGCUUGGUGUUGGGACUCGCGUUAAUUCGCGUUCCUCAAAUUGAUUGGCGGUCACGUCGAGCUUCCAUAGCGUAGUAGUAAAACCCUCGUUACUGGUAAUCGUCGCGGCCACGCCGUUAAACCCCAACUUCUUAAUGUUGACCUCGGAUCAGGUAGGAAUACCCGCUGAACUUAAGCAUAUCAAUAAGCGGAGGA
This 332-nucleotide unclassified non-coding RNA is filed under the name soil metagenome. RNAcentral's name for it is "partial contains 5.8S ribosomal RNA, internal transcribed spacer 2, and large subunit ribosomal RNA". The stretch from base 1 to 120 matches the Rfam family "5.8S ribosomal RNA", at positions 35 to 154 of the family's 154-position model. The record is from RNAcentral.